Mustela lutreola (European mink) is the source of this 1491-nucleotide long non-coding RNA. RefSeq lists it as uncharacterized. The transcript has 5 exons. The record is from RefSeq and is a predicted model, not a curated record. Lineage: Eukaryota; Metazoa; Chordata; Mammalia; Carnivora; Mustelidae.
UAGAGCCAGAGAGUAAAUAUUAGAAGCUCUGUGGGCCAUAUGGCUUCUGUCACAGCCACUCAACUCCAGCCUUGCGGUGGGGAUAUAGGGGAAGACACUCAACGGUUGGUAUGUGAGAUCAUCCUGCCAUGAAAACUUAUUCGGAAUCCAGGUAGCCUCCAAUGCCAGGAAGAGCUAUAAAAGCACCGAAGAGAUGACUAUUCCAAUGUGACUUUGUGGACAGGUAAGGGAAAAAAAUGAAGAACUCACCUACGAAUUCAUAAAGGCUACCCAAAGCACAGCUCCCUACAAGGCAGGAAAAUAAUGCACUAUCAUCCCGGGGCCAUUUUGCACUGUGUUUGUGUUGAGAUGUCAGAUCGCAUUCUUAUAUUUGGCUCUGCAUUUGGGAGGACAUUUCAAUGUCAGAGGAUUUAAGUAUAAUGUCUCCGAGGGACGUUGCCUUCUUGUGGCUAAGCACAUUCACAGAUCACACAUAAUCGAACAAUACGGCCUCUUACCAAACAGGAAUCUUUCUAGAUGCUGUGAAGCAAUAAUCUGUCCUGUCAUCGUUCCCUCAGAGCAAUGACUUCCUGUGGCAACUCGAUCGUCCUGAAAGGUGUUUUGAACAGUCUGGACCGUGGCGUUCACGUAAGGAGUGCAAGCAUUAGCACAAUUUAGGAAUAACGUGGAAAGAGACAGAGAAUGGAAUCCAAGCUACAGAAGGACAGGAAGCCAUACAUCACAACCAGAGUCACGUUGCGACUGUGACACAGUCGGUGGCCUGAACAGGGCCUUCUACAAUGCCGUGAGCUGCUGCCAAAAAUACUUCAGGAGCCCGAACUUCGAAACUGACUGUAAACUUGUCUUGAACAGCCCCCAGACACCUUGGCCUUUGUUUAUAGAAGUCUUUGUUUUCCUCUGACAGCAGUACCAGGAACCUAACAUUUUCCUAGUCGAGGAUCGUUCUGCAUUCAUUGUCCCCGCAAUGCCAGAUUAAGUUGACAGCCUGGCAGCUUGGCUGGAGGAAUGAAAGAUCCUUUACUGACCAUCUUCCGUGUCCUUAUUCUCUGCCUAUUAAGUUGAAUUGAAUUCUAUUUUUCCUGGCCAGCCUGCUCCCAGGCUUCUCCCUCUAGGAAGUCGCAGAGAGCUGAACCUGGUCUAGGCAACCGGAUUGAAUUUUGUGGCGAGUCAGGAAGAUUUCCUCUGGACGAGAGUUACGGGGGUUCUGCUGGAGGAGGAAGUCACCCGGUACCCAUCCCGGCCCUUUUGUGAGCUUGCUGUGUGACUUUUGGGCAAAGAUUUUUGGAAGCAGCUGCCUCUUUUUCCCUUGCCAAUAGCUGGAAAAGGAGAACUUUGGAUGCCAGGGAAAGGUUGAGCCACAGAACUGAAGCAACAUGACUUUCCAAACUACCCCAAGGAGGAAAGAUGCCCACUAAGCAAUGACACUACACUGUACUGAUGAUGACAUGAGUAAGAACUGAUCAACUCUUGUGAGGAAGUGGGAUAGAAAUC